This 313-nucleotide ribosomal RNA is filed under the name uncultured bacterium. RNAcentral describes it as "bacterial SSU rRNA". It matches the Rfam family "Bacterial small subunit ribosomal RNA", at positions 28 to 329 of the family's 1533-position model. The record is from RNAcentral.
GACGAACGCUGGCGGCGUGCUUAACACAUGCAAGUCGAGGGGGUUCGUGGGGCAACUCACGGAUCACCGGCGAACGGGUGCGUAACACGUGAGCGACCUGCCGUACCUGUGGGGGAUAGCCGGCCCAACGGCCGGGUAAUACCGCAUACGCUUGUCUUGGGGCAUCCUGGGACAAAGAAAGCUGUGGGGGCAACCCUGUGGCGCAGGACGAGGGGCUCGCGGCCUAUCAGCUAGUUGGCGGGGAACGCCCACCAAGGCGGUGACGGGUAGCUGGUCUGAGAGGAUGGCCAGCCACAUUGGGACUGAGAGACGG